CUCUGAGAACCAGUCUUUGCUCAUCCAGACUCACCAACAGAAGUCCAUAUUUGAACCACAGAGCAAAUAACGUCCAAAGAGACGUGUCCCUCAAUCCUUCCAUCUACAGCAGAGCAGUCAAGCAAACUUCAGGGAGAUUGAUGUUGGACAGGAUGAUCUAUGGCUCAGCUCAUGGGCUCUUCUGGAGCACCAGGCUGAGCUGGCAUCACCCAAGUGAGAGGCAAAGACACAUACACCCAGGAACAGAAAGUUCAUUGUCAGCCUGAGUGCAGGAUUGGGACCCAGGGUGUACGGCAUGACUGAAAGAAAAGGAAACCAUAAAGAUGAAGAAUCUAGAAAAUAUAUCUUUGUAAAGCUGGCAUGGAAAGGAUUAGAGGGGUUAUCAAGAAACCAUUUUCUUGAAACAGUGGCACGAAGAUGGUCAGAACGGCAGUUCUGGUUCAGGGCCAAGGUUCAUUUAGCCCAGAAGUUUCUCUUCUGCAGAGGCUGUAGCAGACAUGAGGGAGAAAUGCAAACAGAACAAAGCUUGUGCAUGGCAGAAAGGGUGAGUUCACUUCUCAAUAUACAAGCCGAAGGUCUCUUCCAGGACUGCUGUGAAGGAUUUGGAAGAUGUUUCACUCAAACACAGAAUUUAUAUAUAGGCACAAAGCUUUCAUUAAACAUGAGCAGCUAAGGGGACAGCAUCAGUCACUGAUGGUAAUGUAUGCACGUCUUGUAGGCACACUAUAGAGGAACAAGCUGCCUUGCAGAAAUUAAUACAGCAAAGGUGUUGAUUAUUGAUGCAUUUGUUACUGAAUUGACUCCGCCUAAGUUUCCAGAGCCAAUGUGACUUCCAGAUCUAUUUGUAGAUUACCAAAUGCUCACAGUGUGACUGUCGCUUUUGCAUUUACUGCAGCAGAUGCCUCAAUGUAAUAUUUGAUGCGUACUUUAGAUGACUACCUUGUGUACCAAAACUGAAUAACCCUGAAUAAGAAUAAGUCUUUGAGAACCUGGCAGAGUAGAAAGGAAGAUCCCUGUACUGGUACAGCCUUCUCCAUCAUCACCAAAGGUAAUGGAGCCACAAAGAUCCAGAGCGCUGCGAGAGAUGUCUACCUGUAGCAAUGGGUACUGUGUUUUGAUGCAACAAAUUCUGAAUGAAUUUGUGGAAGUGUGCAUUUUGUUAAAAUCACCACUGAAGAAGGAAAUUAAUUGCUUAGGGGGCUUCCUGGCUAGUGCAAUAAGCUACAAUUGUUACUAAUGGAAUGCCGCUGUAAAGGGAAAAUAGGAGCUAUCAUGAGUAUUUGCUGUAGAAUUGUCUUGUCCAGAAGAAAAGACUCCAUAUUGCUUGGAAUAUUUAAAAUAAGGCUGAAUAAAAUGUGCUGAUUUACCUUACUUCUCUGUGUUGACUGCGUGAGCAGCAGAACCUAGC
Aquila chrysaetos chrysaetos is the source of this 1408-nucleotide long non-coding RNA. The record is from Ensembl. Lineage: Eukaryota; Metazoa; Chordata; Aves; Accipitriformes; Accipitridae.